UGGGGAAUCUUGCGCAAUGGGCGAAAGCCUGACGCAGCAACGCCGCGUGUGUGAUGAAGGCCUUCGGGUUGUAAAGCACUGUCAGGAGGGAAGAAAACUCAGUGGCUAAUACCCAUUGAGGAUGACGGUACCUCCGAAGGAAGCACCGGCUAACUCCGUGCCAGCAGCCGCGGCAAUACGGAGGGUGCGAGCGUUGUUCGGAAUCAUUGGGCGUAAAGCGCGUGUAGGCGGGCUGGCAAGUCAGGUGUGAAAUCCCGAGGCUCAACCUCGGAAUUGCGCCUGAAACUGCUGGUCUUGAGUACGGGAGGGGGCAGCGGAAUUCUUGGUGUAGGGGUGAAAUCCGUAGAUAUCAGGAGGAACACCGAUGGCGAAGGCAGCUGCCUGGACCAGUACUGACGCUGAGACGCGAAAGCGUGGGGAGCAAACAG
This 428-nucleotide ribosomal RNA is filed under the name uncultured bacterium. RNAcentral describes it as "bacterial SSU rRNA". It matches the Rfam family "Bacterial small subunit ribosomal RNA", at positions 355 to 775 of the family's 1533-position model. The record is from RNAcentral.